Molecule: ribosomal RNA, 448 nt
Filed under: uncultured bacterium
Lineage: Bacteria
Description: bacterial SSU rRNA
Rfam family: Bacterial small subunit ribosomal RNA
Source: RNAcentral
UGGGGAAUCUUGGACAAUGGGCGAAAGCCUGAUCCAGCAACGCCGCGUGAGUGAUGAAGGCCUUCGGGUCGUAAAGCUCUGUCGGUUGGAACGAAUAAAGGCCACCUAAUACGUGGCCUUAUGACGGUACCAGCAAAGGAAGCACCGGCUAACUCUGUGCCAGCAGCCGCGGUAAGACAGAGGGUGCAAGCGUUGUUCGGAAUUACUGGGCGUAAAGGGCGUGUAGGCGGUGGAGUGUGUCUGGUGUGAAAUCCCUCGGCUUAACCGGGGAACUGCAUUGGAAACUACUUUGCUAGAGUGCGAGAGAGGAAGGCGGAAUUCCCAGUGUAGAGGUGAAAUUCGUAGAUACUGGGAGGAACACCGGAGGCGAAGGCGGCCUUCUGGCUCGUAACUGACGCUGAGACGCGAAAGCGUGGGUAGCAAACAGGAUUAGAUACCCCUGUAGUCC